AUCGACCCAUUUCCAACUUUUCAUGUAUAGUGCGAAUCAUGCAUGUAGUUUCAUAAAUACACGCUAAAAAAAAUUGUCAUUAAAUUUACUUAUAGCUAACGGAAUUUUCUGAAAACCCAUCACUGAUACAUUAGUAUUUUGCUGUUUAGCUAUAGAAUUUGUCUGUCGCUAAUUCUUAUACAUAUAUGCUUAUGUAUGCUUAUGUAUGUAUGUAUGUAUGGCGCAUAAACUACAGGGGAAAUGAGAGUUUUAUUUGUGUAGUGCGGUUAGAAUUAUGGCGGCUAUAUAUGUGGAAUUGAGCUCUACAUGUAAUGAUAUUUACUUUCUAUUUUUAGGAAGUUUUUGGGUUUGGGUUUUGUAUUUGAGCUGAAGAGUAAUUGGUAAAGUGGAAAGGUUGUUAGUUUGUGUUUUCAUUCUGUUUCUUAGUUCAAUGAAGCAUUAUUAUCUGCUUAAUGAUGUUUUUACGUACUAAUUACUACUAUAAGCUAAAUUCUGGAAUUUUGAUGAUUUGGGUCUUUCAUGUUAUUUAGUAUUUUGAUAGAUUAUUGGUUUAGCCAAGAUGAUUUUUUUUUUUUUUUAAAGUUAUUUGGGUUUUGUUUCUCUGCAUAUCAGCAAUUAAAAUGAUGUAAUAUGUUCAAUAGAUAGUAGAUAAUAGAGGAACAUUGAGUUUAUGAGACUUACUAUUAAGAUAUGAAGUUAUCUAAUUAGCUUUCUCCAAUUAUCUGGUUCAGUUACCAUAUUAGUUGGAGUAAUUGCUUCUUAUCAGUAAGUGGAAAGUUGACAAUGAUGGUGAUUUGUGAGAAAAAAAGUAUGAGUUGCAGAUUGCAUAUAGCCAUAUAGGAAUGCUUAGAUAUGGAGGGCCAAUUCAGGUGAUAGCUUCCUGUACAGUAGUGAAUAGUGAUUAGUAGAUAUUAAUGUGGAUUCAUCAAAAUGGGAAAUCCCUAUAGUCAUUGCUCUGCCCAGUGAUGAAAAAACUGAUUAGGAACUCCAAAGUUUAGCCCAUCAUCACUAAAAUUGGCAUAUAUACACUUUGUGUUUAAAUGCUAGCUGUCUUACCUCCAUCUAACCAUAAUCUUUCUUGUUAGUUUUGGAAAGGUGUCAAGUAACACUAUUUCAAUACCACCUCAACCAUAGCAAAGCAUGUGCUGGGGCUUUGUGUGUGGAAAAGGAGGGGGGUGGGGGGGGGGUGGAACCGGUUUGUUCAUUCAGCCUCCUCUUUUUAUCUGAUUUUAUAUCUUUGCUGGCUUUUCACAUUUUCUUCCUAAGUGCCGAUCUUGGAUAUAAUGAGUAAAUUGAGAGGUGGAUAAAGUAAUCUUUGCGAUUCCAAAUUUUCCGGGUAAUUGGAUGCGCAAUUCUCAUUUUAUGUGUCAGUUGUUAAUGGCACACAUUUCUGUUUUAUUAUUUGGAAUCUUUAUCUCACUGAAACUUGCUAAAUUGCAUGUGAAGUUGCAGAAAUAUCCCCAACAGUCAGCCGUUUGCUUUCUUUCAGUAAAGAGUACAGAUAUUAAGUUUCUGUUGAAUCGCAAGAAUGAAGUUUGGUAAGGAAUUCAAAAGGGAAAUGGUCCCAGAGUGGGUAGAAGCUUAUGUGGACUAUACUGGACUCAAACAUAUACUACAGGAGAUCCGCCGUUUCAAGGAAAGCAAACAGCCUCCAACGCCUGCAAGAACUUUAGAGCAGAGGUUGGCUGUAUAUCGGAACUUUAGUGGUCUAAAUCUACAAGGACUUGCUCAGAAUGCUGGUGAUAUUGAGGACCAGGUGAUAGCAGUGAACACGGUGCAACACGAAAACUACAGAAAGUUUUACAAAACUAAGUUCCUAGCGUCUCCUGAAGGAGCAGAGAAUGAAAUUAGUUUCUUUAACAAACUAGACCAUGAAUUGAACAAGGUUAAUACCUUCUACAAGGACAAGGUGGAUGAAGUCAUGAGGGAAGUAAAUUUGCUGAAUAAACAAAUGGAUGCUUUGAUUGCGUUACGUAUCAAGGUGAUGGAUCCGGGUUUCGAUGCAUUUGCUUCCCUUCAACGUCUUUCCUUAGACAUUAACAAUUCAACCCCCUCGAGGAUUACAUCUCCUCCCAGAAUAGCGAAUUUAGAUACAGAUGAUAUGCCUGUCAGCCCAAGUUUUGGCCCCACUUAUGGAAGACAGGGUUCUACGACUAGUGCUUCAUAUUCCAAGGUUCCCAUCGACCACAAUACUUUAAGAGAGAACAGAGAUACUGAUUCAACAAAAACAGAUCCUCUUGAAAUCCUAGAUCACGUUAAGAUUGUUAAUACAUUUGAAAGUCCCAUGUCAACAAUAAGAGGUGUCUUGGGCGAAUCCAAGGAGAAUGACUUGAGUUAUAAGAAAGAGGAACUAAAGAAGGUUGAGCAGAGGCUAAAGCUUAUUUUCUUUGAGUUCUAUCAAAAACUUCGCCAUCUAAAACACUUCAGCUAUAUGAACCUGUCUGCAUUCUCCAAGAUCCUCAAAAAAUAUGAGAAGAUUACAUCUAGAAAAGCAGCAAGAUCAUACUUGAAAAUGGUUGAUAACUCUUACCUUGGGAGUUCUGAGGAGGUUACCAGUCUUCUGGACAGAGUGGAGACCACCUUUAUCAAGCAUUUUUCACAGUCGAACCGCAGAGAAGGCAUGAAGAUAUUGCGUCCGAGGCAUAAAAGAGAAAAACAUCGUAUAACGUUCCUGUCAGGUUUUUUUUCUGGUUGCUCAAUUGCUCUACUAGUUGCUGUUAUUCUAUUAAGAGAUGAUAGAAAGUUGAUUGAUAAAGAUGAAGGAACCUCUUAUUUGGACAAGAUAGUCCCACUUUACAGUUUUUAUGCAUACAUUGUGUUGCAUAUGCUUUUAUAUGCUGCAAACAUUUAUUUUUGGAGGCGCUACAAAAUCAACUAUGCAUUUAUCUUUGGUUUCAAGCAAGGGACCGAGUUAAGCUAUAGGGAAGUCUUUCUUCUUAGCAAUGGUCUGGCAAUGCUCGUCCUUGCCGCUCUCCUGAUGCAUCUGCACAUGAAUUCAAGAGCUGAAGUAUAUGGAACAAGUGUUGAAUAUGUUCCUUUGGGAUUGAUAAUGGUUCUUCUUUUCAUUACUUUCUGCCCGUUUAGCAUCAUUUAUCGCUCAAGUCGUUUGUUCCUUAUGAGAUGCGUCUUCCACUGUAUCUGUGCUCCUCUUUACAAGGUUACUCUUCCAGAUUUCUUUCUAGCAGACCAGCUGACUAGCCAGGUUGAAGCAAUAAGGAGUUUGGAGUACUACAUUUGCUACUAUACUUGGAUUAAAUCUUCGCAUGGACAUAAUUCGUGCCCAAGUCACGAUGUCUAUAACAUAUUUUACUUCAUUCUAGCGAUCAUACCAUAUUGGUUUCGGUUUUUCCAGUGUGUCCGUCGACUGUUUGAAGAAAAAGAUCAAGCACAGGCAUACAAUGGCCUGAGAUAUUUUUUGACAAUUCUGGCAGUUGUUAUUAAAACAGCUUAUGCACUGAGAAAGAGUUUGACUUGGGAGGUGUUGGCGAUACUUAGCUCACUUAUCACAACUUUCUUCAACACUUACUGGGAUAUAGUUGUAGAUUGGGGGCUGUUAAGAAGGAAAUCCGAGAACAAGUUUUUGCGGGAUAAGCUCAUAUUGCGUCAUAGAAGUGUAUAUUUCAUAGCCAUGGUCUUGGAUGUUUUGCUUAGAUUUGCUUGGCUACAAUUGGUAUUAAAGUUUAAUGUGCCCUCUUUGCAAGGAAGUACUGUCUCAAGCAUAUUUGCUUGCUUAGAAGUAAUUCGGCGUGGCAUGUGGAAUUUUUUCAGAUGAUCCACUGUCCUUUCACAUUAUGGCAAAGGGAGAAUUUAUCGACAUAUUUAUGAUCUCAAGGUUGGAAAAUGAGCACUUGAACAAUGUGGGGAAAUAUCGGGCAUUCAAGUCAGUACCACUUCCUUUCGUUUACCAUGAAGAGGAUGAGGAGAAAGAAGAAUAAAGAUGAACAUUGAACAAUAUCUGUCCAUUACCUUAUCAGAGUGCUAGCAACUGCCAAACUUUAGCAUCCAGCAAAUGUCAUUCACCAUGAAGCGCUCACAUGUCAAAUGUUGCCUAAUAAACAGCAAUUUGACAUCUAAGCUGAAGAAAAUAUUACAUUUCUGGGCUUAAGGUGGAUGAGAAGAGUCGAACACGUGUGAAAGAGGUCAACAUUCCAAAAAAAAAAAAAAAGGACCAGGCAGAUUACAGAAGAUGCAGAUUUCUUUAAGGGCUAUUUAUUGGCCCUUUAACUGGAUAAUAACUUCAGAACAAGGCAAGAUGUGCAGUGACAAGGAGGAGAGAAAGAAUAGAAAAGGGAUAUAUAAAAAUUGCUUAAUUGUACAUUGUUCAAGUCGAAGAUAGUGAAUGCGAUCACAGAUGUUGCCCUGUCAUAGCAGACCAAGCAAUGUUUAAUUUCUAAUUUUCUUCAAGCCAAUGGUGCAGUUGUUCAUUCAUAGUUGAGAAUAAUUCUCUGAAUUAGUGAUACAUUGAUAUGUUCCCAAACUUUAUAGGUUAAAUAGUUAAUUUGCCAAUGAGGCAUUCUUUUUA
RNA transcript from Lycium barbarum (goji berry), 4522 nucleotides. It is a transcript of the gene named phosphate transporter PHO1 homolog 10-like, with no coding region annotated. The record is from RefSeq and is a predicted model, not a curated record. The transcript is spliced from 14 exons. NCBI's taxonomy places the organism in Eukaryota, Viridiplantae, Streptophyta, Magnoliopsida, Solanales, Solanaceae.